Molecule: ribosomal RNA, 295 nt
Filed under: uncultured bacterium
Lineage: Bacteria
Description: partial 16S ribosomal RNA
Rfam family: Bacterial small subunit ribosomal RNA
Source: RNAcentral
GAUGAACGCUAGCGGCAGGCUUAAUACAUGCAAGUCGAGGGGCAGCAGCUUUGUAGCAAUACAGAGGCUGGCGACCGGCAAACGGGUGCGGAACACGUACAGAACCUUCCUUCGAGCGGGGAAUAGCCCAGAGAAAUUUGGAUUAAUACCCCAUAGUAUUGUGAAGUGGCAUCACUUUACAAUUAAAGAUUAUCACUUGAAGAUGGCUGUGCGGCUGANAGGUAGUUGGCGGGGUAACGGGCCCACCAAGCCUGCGAUCAGUAACUGGUGUGAGAGCACGACCAGUCACACGGGC